Podarcis lilfordi (Lilford's wall lizard) is the source of this 77-nucleotide non-coding RNA. The record is from the annotation of a GenBank genome assembly. NCBI's taxonomy places the organism in Eukaryota, Metazoa, Chordata, Lepidosauria, Squamata, Lacertidae.
AUCCUAUCUGGUAGUUCAGUCAGUAGAGAAUGAGAUUCUUGAUCUCAGAGUCAUGGGUUCAAGUCUCAUAUUGGGCA